RNAcentral lists this ribosomal RNA (429 nucleotides) under Bacillota bacterium. RNAcentral describes it as "Firmicutes bacterium partial 16S ribosomal RNA". It matches the Rfam family "Bacterial small subunit ribosomal RNA", at positions 355 to 776 of the family's 1533-position model. Lineage: Bacteria; Bacillati; Bacillota. The record is from RNAcentral.
UGGGGAAUUUUGGACAAUGGGCUAAAGCCUGAUCCAGCAAUGCCGCGUGUGUGAAGAAGGCCUUAGGGUUGUAAAGCACUUUUGUCUGGAAAUAACUGGCUCUGUUUAAUACCUGGGGUCGAUGACGGUACCGGAAGAAUAAGGACCGGCUAACUACGUGUCAGCAGCCGCGGUAAUACGUAGGGUCCAAGCGUUAAUCGGAAUUACUGGGCGUAAAGCGUGCGCAGGCGGUAGUGGAAGACCGAUGUGAAAUCAACGAGCUUAACGUGGGAAUUGCAUUGGUGACUGCACGGCUAGAGUGUGUCAGAGAGGGGUAGAAUUCCAAGUGUAGCAAUGGAAUGCGUAGAGGUGUGGAGGAAUACCGAUGGCGAACGUAGCACCCUGGGAUAACACAGACGCUCAUGCACGAAAGCGUGGGGAGCAAACAGG